This 212-nucleotide ribosomal RNA is filed under the name uncultured Levilinea sp. Its description in RNAcentral is "partial 16S ribosomal RNA". It matches the Rfam family "Bacterial small subunit ribosomal RNA", at positions 1174 to 1382 of the family's 1533-position model. The record is from RNAcentral. Lineage: Bacteria; Bacillati; Chloroflexota; Anaerolineae; Anaerolineales; Anaerolineaceae.
GGGGAGUGACGUCAAGUACAGCAUGGCCUUUAUAUCCUGGGCUACACACACGCUACAAUGGGAAGGGACAAUAGGUUGCGAAGCCGCGAGGCGGAGCCAAUCCAGCAAAACUUCCCUCAGUUCAGAUUGCAGGCUGCAACUCGCCUGCAUGAAGUUGGAGUUGCUAGUAAACGCAGGUCAGCCAUACUGCGUUGAAUACGUUCCCGGGGCUU